RNAcentral lists this ribosomal RNA (264 nucleotides) under Escherichia coli. RNAcentral describes it as "partial 23S ribosomal RNA". It matches the Rfam family "Bacterial large subunit ribosomal RNA", at positions 2667 to 2925 of the family's 2925-position model. Lineage: Bacteria; Pseudomonadati; Pseudomonadota; Gammaproteobacteria; Enterobacterales; Enterobacteriaceae. RNAcentral also lists the same sequence under 2 other names. The record is from RNAcentral.
GGGGGCUGCUCCUAGUACGAGAGGACCGGAGUGGACGCAUCACUGGUGUUCGGGUUGUCAUGCCAAUGGCACUGCCCGGUAGCUAAAUGCGGAAGAGAUAAGUGCUGAAAGCAUCUAAGCACGAAACUUGCCCCGAGAUGAGUUCUCCCUGAGACUUAGAGUCUCCUGAAGGAACGUUGAAGACGACGACGUUGAUAGGCCGGGUGUGUAAGCGCAGCGAUGCGUUGAGCUAACCGGUACUAAUGAACCGUGAGGCUUAACCUU